AGCGAACGCUGGCGGCAGGCUUAACACAUGCAAGUCGAGCGGGCGUAGCAAUACGUCAGCGGCAGACGGGUGAGUAACGCGUGGGAACGUACCUUUUGGUUCGGGAUAACCCAGGGAAACUUGGGCUAAUACCGGAUAAGCCCUUACGGGGAAAGAUUUAUCGCCGAAAGAUCGGCCCGCGUCUGAUUAGCUAGUUGGUGAGGUAACGGCUCACCAAGGCGACGAUCAGUAGCUGGUCUGAGAGGAUGAUCAGCCACAUUGGGACUGAGACACGGCCCAGACUCCUACGGGAGGCAGCAGUGGGGAAUAUUGGACAAUGGGCGCAAGCCUGAUCCAGCAAUGCCGCGUGAGUGAGGAAGGCCUUAGGGUUGUAAAGCUCUUUCACCCGCGACGAUGAUGACGGUAGCGGGAG
This 412-nucleotide ribosomal RNA is filed under the name uncultured bacterium. Its description in RNAcentral is "bacterial SSU rRNA". It matches the Rfam family "Bacterial small subunit ribosomal RNA", at positions 29 to 484 of the family's 1533-position model. The record is from RNAcentral.